Molecule: long non-coding RNA, 3355 nt
Filed under: Sus scrofa (pig)
Lineage: Eukaryota; Metazoa; Chordata; Mammalia; Artiodactyla; Suidae
Description: lncRNA (ENSSSCG00060034126.1)
Source: RNAcentral
GGUCCAUGAGCACCCGGAGCCGCAGAGGCAGGACAAAAGUUGUGAGUAUCCAAAGCUCGGGCAGCUGGCAGCAGUGCAGCCGCCGGGGCGACGACCACCAUGCGGAGACCGGCGCGACCUUUUGAGACGCAGCUGGACCCGCCCAGUUCGGCGCCCGGGUCAUUCCAGGGUCUGGGGCAGCGGCGGGGGCCGCGGGCGGAUGGCGUGAACCCAACCGCUGCAGGAUGCCCUCCAAACACAGGGCCCCGGGGCUGUGCGCUGCUGAGCCGAGCCAUAGAAGACCAAGAAGGCCACUGACAUCAUAGACAGAUUGCUCUUACUGUGAACUCUCUUCCUGUGACAUGUCACAUCCUCAGAGCAGAGGUCGCCCUCCUGGAAGAAACCAAUGUUUUGUGAGGCAUUCAAAUUCACAAUCCAGAGGCACUUAACAAGGCAAUUCCCACCAGUGACCAUUGACCCUUACAGAUGAAGCCUCAAAAGAGUGUGUUUGGUUUUUUCAAGGAGCAUGGAAAAGCCAGAACUCAAAUUCUUUCUAUGAAGGAAGAAGAGAUGAGGGAGAGAGAGAGUGAAGAUGCCCAUGCAGCCUCAGGUCCUAAGAGCAUCAUCCAACAAGAUGAACAGGAUCCGCCCCUCCAACGCCUUCCUGGGACAGUCCAGCAGGACAGCAGGUGAGGGUGGGAAGUGGUACAUUCACAGUCACUCCAUAUGCUCGGUGCCAGUUCACUGUGUUUAAUUAAACAUGAUUUCUGUAUGUAGCACAUGGAUAUAUACACACCCAAACAGAGAUGUCUGUAGGGGAAACAACAGCUUUUACUUAAUACCUCGCAGGCGCAUUGCCAGCACAAGCUGCUGAAACCUUGGGUAUUUCCUUCCUGGCUGUUUCUGUGAAGGUGGGAGGCAGGUGAGGAAGCAGUUACCUCUGCCUGGGGCUGCUUAAGGCCCAGUGGAGGCAUCUGUCCAUUGUCACGUAGGCUGCUGUCUCUGUAUCUCUGUGCUGGGCAGGCUGAAGAGUAGAUACACUGGAGGAAGUUUUUGACUCCUCUUGAAGAGAAUGGUUUUUACACUCAUGAAAAUCUAGCUUUAAGUCCCUGGGAGUUCCCGUUGUGGCUUGGUAUUCCCAUUGUGGUUCAGCGGGUUAAGAACCCAACUAGUAUCCACGAGGAUGCAAGUUUGAUACCUGGCCUUGCUUAGUGGGUUAAAGAUCCCGCAUUGGCAUGAGCUGCCAUGUAGGUCAAAGAUGUGGCUUGUAUGGAUCUUGCAUUGCCGUGGCUGGCAACUGCAGCUCCAGUUCAACCCCGAACAUGGGAACUUCCAUAUGCUGUGGGUGUGGGUGUGGCUGUAAAAAAAUAUCCCUGCUUUACCCCUUAUAGGCUCCAAGCUCUGGGCAGUUCUCUCUAUCUUCCUGAGCCCCAGUGUGCCCACCUGGUUAUGAGGGUGACACUGCCUGGGUCAGAGGAUGCACCAGAGCCCCAGAUGCUUGGUAAAUGAGAUGAAUGGGAGAAGGAAACUUGCCGUGGCCAGGGACACACUUAACACAUAAUGCACCUGCUUUCCUGUGGAGGAUGCAGAUUUCAGGCUCUCGGGCUCGGGUGACCUGCAGGUGUUCUAUUUGGCCCACUCAGCAUAGUUACAUCUUGUGUGUUCAUUUUCAAGAUUGGAGUUUAGGAAUUUUACUUGAGGCUGAGAUUUCUGACUUAGGCUAUUUGAAGAUCUGGCAGCUCUGAGCUCAUUGACUCCCUGUCAACAAACAGCCGGAGCUGAGAAGACCCUGCUUCCCUUAGGCUGGGCAUGUGCCUCUGUCGGUCGAAAUGACACUGAUGGCAGCAACAAGCACUUAUGGAAUAUUUACUGUGGACAACAGCAACCUCACAGGGUGGGGACCAAUAAUAUCUCCAUUUUACAGAUGAGGGCAUUGACAGGGAGAUACAGAGAUAGAUGAUAGAUAGGUGGAUAGAUAGAUAGAUGAUAGAUAAUAGAUGACAGAUGCAAAUGAUAGACAUGAUAGAUGGUAGAUAGAUACCUAGAUAGAUGCAAAUGAUAGGCAGAUGAUAGAUAAUAGAUGAUACAUAGAUAAAUAGACAGAUGAUAGAUAACAGGUAGAUGAUAGAUAGACAGUUGAUAGAUGACAGAUAAUAGAUAGAUGACAGAUGCAAAUGAUAGACAGGAUAGAUAAUAGAUAGACAGAUGAUAGAUGAUACAUAGAUGGUUGGUAGAGAGAUAAAUAGAUAGAUAGAUAGAUAGAUAGAUAGAUAGAUAGAUAGAUAGAUAGAUAGAUAGAUAGAUAGAAAUAGAUUAUGUGGAAUUGGCUCACAUGAUUAUGGAGGCUGAGUAGUGCCAUGAUCUGCUGUCGGCAAGCUGGACACCCAGGAGAGCUGGUGGUGUAAUUCAAGUCCAGAGUGUGAGAACCAGGGGAGUCUGAUGGUGUAAAUUCCAGUCCAAGGGCAGGAGAAGACAGUUUACCCAGCACCAUCAGGCAGGCAGGAAGGGGAUAGCUCCUUUCUUCCUCUGCCUUCUGUUCUAUUCAGACCCUCCUGAGACCUGCCCCCCCUCAGCCACCAUUUCAAAUGCUAAUCUCGUCUCACAGACCCACCCAGGACUGACUUUUAAUAUGGGCACCAUCCAGUUUGUCUGGAACCAAUUUGAAGCUUUUCUGAUGCAACUUUUAAUAUUAAAGAUGCCAUCACAGUCCCACUGCUUCUCCAAAUCCAUGCAACAAAGUAUGGCCCGAUUUUGGAAACAUCUGUGCUGCAAAUCUUUUUAAAGCCUGCUGUCCCCAUAUCACAUGAUGUCACCACGGUCUGUGCAUGUAGGGCUCACCUGGCUUUCUAGCAGAUGGAGCCACCAGGUUCUAGUUUGAAGUCAAUGGCUGGACAUGUGGCAUGUGCCCUUUGAAGGAUGUCUUUCUCUCCAAAUUGCCCUGAACACUCAGACAUCUCAAUAAGCAAUGCCUGACUGACUCCCUUGGAGGUGUGUUCCUUUUGACCAUCACUCAGGAACUGAAAGGACCAACUAUUUACAUGUGGCCUGGGGCUUUCUAAUUGUGUCGUUUGUUGAAAGUCUCCUGGAGAAUUUUGAUUCCGGGUUUUGGCAACGACAAGGAUUAACAACAAGGGCAGAACUUAAUGGGAGACUGUUGAUCUCAGGUAAAGGCAGGAUAGGUGGCCGGUCACUAAAGCCACUUUGCAUUACUACCAGGACUUCUAAUUUCCCAAGGGCCUUAGUGAUACAUUGUUUUUAUUUUUGAUUCUCCCUUAUCAAGAGGGUGGAGAAGAGGUGAUGAUCCUUUUACUGGAACGCACAGCAACAUUUAAUAGAGCUGAUAACCAGAUCCUUCUUUAAACAUUUCAUUCACUUC